AUUCGUCGGUUCAGCGACGAUAAGCCGAGAAGUGCCAAUAAAACUGUUAAGUGGUUUGGUAACGCUCGGUAAGGUAGCCAAAAGGCUGAAACUCCGUGCACAAAGACCGCACGGACGCUUCACAUAUAGCUCAUAAACAAGGGUUUGCGAGCUAGCUUGUGGAGUGUGAACCUGGCGUUUUUCCAUAGGCU
RNAcentral lists this unclassified non-coding RNA (191 nucleotides) under synthetic construct. Its description in RNAcentral is "sgRNAv1 from synthetic construct (PDB 7WJU, chain C)". The record is from RNAcentral.